GAUGAACGCUGGCGGCGUGCCUAAUACAUGCAAGUCGAGCGAACAGACGAGGAGCUUGCUCCUCUGACGUUAGCGGCGGACGGGUGAGUAACACGUGGAUAACCUACCUAUAAGACUGGGAUAACUUCGGGAAACCGGAGCUAAUACCGGAUAAUAUAUUGAACCGCAUGGUUCAAUAGUGAAAGACGGUUUUGCUGUCACUUAUAGAUGGAUCCGCGCCGCAUUAGCUAGUUGGUAAGGUAACGGCUUACCAAGGCAACGAUGCGUAGCCGACCUGAGAGGGGGAUCAGGCACACGGGAAACGAGACACGGUCCAGACUCCUACGGGAGGCAGGAGGGGGGAAUAUUUGCGAAUGGGGGCAAGCCCGAACGAGCCAACCCGCGUGGGGGAAGAAGGGUUUUGGGUUGGAAAAACUUUUUUUUGGGGAAAAAAAAAAUCAGGAAAAAACCAUGGGAGUAUGAAGGGACCCAAAGAAUAAGCCCCGGCUAAAUUCGUG
RNAcentral lists this ribosomal RNA (497 nucleotides) under uncultured bacterium. RNAcentral describes it as "partial 16S ribosomal RNA". It matches the Rfam family "Bacterial small subunit ribosomal RNA", at positions 28 to 507 of the family's 1533-position model. The record is from RNAcentral.